AGUGAACGCUGGCGGUAGGCCUAACACAUGCAAGUCGAACGGCAGCACAGUAAGAGCUUGCUCUUACGGGUGGCGAGUGGCGGACGGGUGAGGAAUACAUCGGAAUCUACUUUUUCGUGGGGGAUAACGUAGGGAAACUUACGCUAAUACCGCAUACGACCUACGGGUGAAAGCAGGGGAUCUUAGGACCUUGCGCGAUUGAAUGAGCCGAUGUCGGAUUAGCUAGUUGGCGGGGUAAAGGCCACCAAGGCGACGAUCCGUAGCUGGUCUGAGAGGAUGAUCAGCCACACUGGAACUGAGACACGGUCCAGACUCCUACGGGAGGCAGCAGUGGGGAAUAUUGGACAAUGGGCGCAAGCCUGAUCCAGCCAUACCGCGUGGGUGAAGAAGGCCUUCGGGUUGUAAAGCCCUUUUGUUGGGAAAGAAAAGCAGCAGGUUAAUACCCCGCUGUUCUGACGGUACCCAAAGAAUAAGCACCGGCUAACUUCGUG
Molecule: ribosomal RNA, 491 nt
Filed under: uncultured bacterium
Lineage: Bacteria
Description: partial 16S ribosomal RNA
Rfam family: Bacterial small subunit ribosomal RNA
Source: RNAcentral